AUGGAGCACUGUUGUCUGCCUGUCCUACAGAGCACUGUUGUCUGCCUGUCCUACAGAGCACUGUUGUCUGCCUGUCCUACAGAGCACUGUUGUCUGCCUGUCCUAUGGAGCACUGUUGUCUGCCUGUCCUAUGGAGCACUGUUGUCUGCCUGUCAUAUGGAGCACUGUUGUCUGCUUGUCCUACAGAGCACUGUUGUCUGCCUGUCCUAUGGAGCACUGUUGUCUGCCUGUCCUAUGGAGCACUGUUGUCUGCCUGUCCUACAGAGCACUGUUGCCUGCCUGUCCUAUGGAGCACUGUUGUCUGCCUGUCCUAUGGAGCACUGUUGUCUGCCUGUCCUAUGGAGCACUGUUGUCUGCCUGUCCUACAGAGCACUGUUGUCUGCCUGUCCUAUGGAGCACUGUUGUCUGCCUGUCCUAUGGAGCACUGUUGUCUGCCUGUCCUAUGGAGCACUGUUGUCUGCCUGUCCUACAGAGCACUGUUGUCUGCCUGUCCUAUGGAGCACUGUUGUCUGCCUGUCCUAUGGAGCACUGUUGUCUGCCUGUCCUAUGGAGCACUGUUGUCUGCCUGUCCUACAGAGCACUGUUGUCUGCCUGUCCUAUGGAGCACUGUUGUCUGCCUGUCCUAUGGAGCACUGUUGUCUACCUGUCCUAUGGAGCACUGUUGUCUGCCUGUCCUAUGGGGGCACUGUUGUCUGCCUGUCCUAUGGAGCACUGUUGUCUGCCUGUCCUACAGAGCACUGUUGUCUGCCUGUCCUAUGGAGCACUGUUGUCUGCCUGUCCUAUGGAGCACUGUUGUCUGCCUGUCCUAUGGAGCACUGUUGUCUGCCUGUCCUACAGAGCACUGUUGUCUGCCUGUCCUACAGAGCACUGUUGUCUGCCUGUCCUAUGGAGCACUGUUGUCUGCCUGUCCUAUGGAGCACUGUUGUCUGCCUGUCCUAUGGAGCACUGUUGUCUGCCUGUCCUAUGGGGGCACUGUUGUCUGCCUGUCCUAUGGAGCACUGUUGUCUGCCUGUUCUAUGGAGCACUGUUGUCCGCCUGUCCUAUGGAACACUGUUUGAGGACUCACCUGGAUCAAACGUGUCUCUCCAGAGGACUGCCAUCAGACAAACGGCAAAAAUUAAAAAUAUUGUCUUCAGCGGGACCUGCAUAACAAUGUUGACUUCUAUUCAGUGUCGCAGGUGA
RNAcentral lists this long non-coding RNA (1182 nucleotides) under Oncorhynchus mykiss (rainbow trout). RNAcentral describes it as "lncRNA (ENSOMYG00000053466.1)". The record is from RNAcentral. Lineage: Eukaryota; Metazoa; Chordata; Actinopteri; Salmoniformes; Salmonidae.